This 497-nucleotide ribosomal RNA is filed under the name uncultured bacterium. RNAcentral describes it as "partial 16S ribosomal RNA". It matches the Rfam family "Bacterial small subunit ribosomal RNA", at positions 28 to 507 of the family's 1533-position model. The record is from RNAcentral.
GAUGAACGCUGGCGGCGUGCCUAAUACAUGCAAGUCGAGCGAACGGACGCGACGCUUGCUUCUCUGAUGUUAGCGGCGGACGGGUGAGUAACACGUGUAUCACCUACCUAUAAUACUGGGAUCACUUCGGGAAUCCGGAGCUAAUACCGGAUAAUCUUUUGCACCGCAUGGUUCAUAAGUGAAAUACGGUCUUGCUGUCUCUUCUCGAUGCAUCCGCGCUGCAUUAGAUAGUUGGUAAGGUAACGGCUUACCAAGGCAACGAUGCAUAGCCGACGUGAGAGGGUGAUAGGCGACACUGGAAGUGAGACAAGGACAAGAGGACUACGGGAGGCAGCAGUAGGGAACGGGACGCAAUGGGCGAAAGCCUGACGGAGCAACGCCGAGUGAGUGAUGAAGGUGUUCGGAUCGUAAAAAUCGGUUAUGAGGGAAGAACAGAUGUGGAAGUAAAUGUGCACAGAGUGACGGUACCGAAUAAGAAAGCAACGGCUAACUACGUG